GAUACACUGAACAUUGAAGUACUGGUCAACAUGAGUCUUGUUAUCAGUUUUAGUGGUUGUUUUCAGGGAAUAACAGACCUCUGAAUGUUGUGACGAGAAUCAAGUAUUUUAGAGAGCUGUGUAACAAUAACCAGUAAGUAACAGUCUUAUGUCUGUAUUUUUCCCUAGGUUCAAUAUUGUAAUAUUUGGUGGGAUUGAUGGUUUCUCGAGGAAGAUCCUGUAUCUUGAUGCUGCUACCAACAACAAAGCAUCAACAGCUUUCAAAUUCUUUCUGGAGGGGGUUCAAAAACACGGGUGGCCUUCAAGAGUACGUGGUGACCAAGGAGUUGAAAACGUGGACAUAGCACGUUGCAUGUUUUCAGUACGAGGAACUGGCCGAGGCAGCUUUAUUGCUGGAAAAAGUGUUCACAAUCAAAGAAUUGAGCGUCUGUGGUGUGAUGUUUGGUCAGCUGUCACUUCUAAGUACUACGACCUCAGAUCAGAACCUUGCUGUUUUGCAUGGAUUAAUUAAUCCCUUGACAUCACCGUUGA
Long non-coding RNA from Triplophysa rosa, 531 nucleotides. RefSeq lists it as uncharacterized. Lineage: Eukaryota; Metazoa; Chordata; Actinopteri; Cypriniformes; Nemacheilidae. The transcript has 4 exons. The record is from RefSeq and is a predicted model, not a curated record.